RNAcentral lists this ribosomal RNA (253 nucleotides) under uncultured bacterium. RNAcentral describes it as "partial 16S ribosomal RNA". It matches the Rfam family "Bacterial small subunit ribosomal RNA", at positions 524 to 776 of the family's 1533-position model. The record is from RNAcentral.
UACGAAGGGGGCGAGCGUUGUUCGGAUUUACUGGGCGUAAAGCGCACGUAGGUGGCGACGUAAGUCGGGUGUGAAAGCCCCGGGCUCAACCUGGGAAUUGCAUUCGAGACUGCAUUGCUGGAGUACGGAAGAGGAAGGCGGAAUUCCCGGUGUAGCGGUGAAAUGCGUAGAUAUCGGGAGGAACAUCAGUGGCGAAGGCGGCCUUCUGGUCCAGUACUGACACUCAAGUGCGAAAGCGUGGGGAGCAAACAGG